This 2132-nucleotide long non-coding RNA is filed under the name Canis lupus familiaris (dog). RNAcentral describes it as "lncRNA (ENSCAFG00845001944.1)". The record is from RNAcentral. Lineage: Eukaryota; Metazoa; Chordata; Mammalia; Carnivora; Canidae.
UUUUUUUUUUUUUUUUUUUUUUUUUUUUUGGUGUUGUUCAUGAGAGACACAGAGAGAGAGAGAGAGAGGCAGAGCCACAGGCAGAGGGAGAAGCAGGCUCCAUGCAGGGAGCCUGAUGCGGGACUCGAUCCUGGGACUCCAGGAUCAUGCCCUGGGCAGAAGGCAGGUGUUAAACCACUGAGUCAUGCCGGGAUCCCCCCAUAUCUUGGUUCUUAAUGAAAACAAUUGGAUAAGUCAAACACUAUGCAAAAUUAUGAAGCAGGCCCUAUUUGUGUUUUGUAUUACUCUACUUCCUCCAUAAAGAUACACUUCAUCCUUCAUCACUAUCAACUAUUCCUUGGCUAUCUAAGCCAGUGCAACAUCUCACCCUUAUCUGAUCAUUCAUGGAAGUUACCCCAUACCCACAACUUUUCUAAAUUCUAGGACUAUGAAUUUUAGCAUCCUUCAAAUUAUACCAAGAAGGAAGUCCCAUAUCUCCCCCUUUUACACAAUGCUACUACUCUUCCUGGCCAUUUUUCAUCUAAGCUUAUCCAAGUACAACACAAAUAUUCUGAUCAAAAGUAAGUCACUCAGAAUACUCUAAGGCAAAGAUACAUGAAAUUAUGACACCAACUUCUGACUAACUUCCAUCCUGGUGAUUUGCAACAACCAUUACAUUAUUCUCAUAGUAGACAGUAAUUUUUAAUGCCUUUCAUUGUUCAUUUUAUACUACAGUCUAUCUUUCAAAUUUCAAAUGAAACUCCAAGUUUCAAAUGAAACUUUUGACUCCUGUGAAAUAUUAUACCAUCAUCUUUGGAAAACCAUAUAUGAUUCCACCUCAAAUAGCAAAGUAUUAAAAAAGUAACACCAAGUUGUAAAUUAUCUAUAGCAAACCCAUGGAAGCAAUUCUCUAUGCAAUUAAUCCUGUCAAUACAAAUUGUCAAUGUUAGCUAAAGUUAAUAAGUUCAGUCAGCUUCCACUAAAACAAAAUCCUGACCUGCCUGAAAUGGGAAACAAAUAUAGACAUGUUACAGGGAAAGACAGCUAUGCCUAAUAUUUAUUUUAAACAUUUCUAAGAAAACAAAGGCUCUUACACAAAUUUACUAAGAAGGAGGAUUUGGGGAGUUAGUAAGGUUUUGUUGUGCAUUGUAGAUUAAAACUUAGCAUGUCAAGAAAACAAAAAAUAUCAAGGUGAGUGAUGGGGGGAAGCUAUCAGGCUAUGCUCAGAUUUUAAAAUUCAUUUCUUAGAGAACAGUAUUCUUGAAAGCAUUAAAAAUUAGUAAGUCAGAAGCCCAAAGAUUUUUGAUAUCUGAAUUACUUUAUAAAAAUAUUACAUCCCAACAGAUUAAGCUAUAGAUGGUUCUACGAGGUACUUGUUGCAUAAAGUAUCACAAACUACCAAAAGGAGAAGCAGAAGGAGAAUCACCUAGCUUGCUCACCUGCUGAUCCAGAAUGCUUCAUUUUCCUUUGAUGGUUUUGGAAGUAAACUUUUGGGAGACUUAAAAGAUGGGGAUUGAAUUUAAACAGUUUUCAUUUUGUAGUCCUCAGUGAAUUAAGUGUUUCAUUUAUAAAUGCUUCCAUGAUGCUGCCUUUCUUUGUUUACUUGAAUAAGUCUAUAUCAUGCUCUAAUACUGUAGGUUGUACUUAGUAUUUAUAAAUAUUCUAGCUAUAGGACUAAGAGCAUCCUACUGCAUUACUGCUUUCAUCUAAAAUAGUCCAAAAGAGCUUUUGCAAUUCAUUCAUUCCAUCCAUUCCAUAAAUAUUUAGUGGGUGCUAGACUGGAUUCCAAUGUUAGCUUUGCUACUUACCAGUUACAUAACUCAAGUUACUUCUCUGUGCUUUAAGUUCCCAAUCUAUAAAAUGGGAGAAGGAAUAGUAUCUACCUUAUGAAACUGUUUAAGAAUUAAAUGAAUUAAUAAAAUACUUAGAACAGCGACUGGCACAUAGUGGAACCUAGUAAGCAUUUAUUGUUGUGGUCACUUACUAGGCCCUGCACUAAUAUGGCAAGCAAGACAGAAAUAUUCUUGCUCACUUGAAAUUUACAAUCAGUAACUAAACAUAUACUUAAUUACCAACUGAAAUAAUGAGCUAUGAAAAAGAAAAAAUAGGAUUCUAUAAGAGUAUGUAACAAAGGAAUCUCCACUUGUACAUAU